CGCUCUUUGUAUACUACAAAGGGAGGAAAGUCCGGGCUCCAGAGGGCAGGGUGCCAGGUAACGCCUGGGAGGUGUGAACCUACGGAAAGUGCCACAGAAAAUAUACCGCCUGUUAAUACCUGUUGAGCAUUAUCAGGUAAGGGUGAAAUGGUGCGGUAAGAGCGCACCGCGCGACUGGUAACAGUCGUGGCAGGGAAAACCCCACCCGGAGCAAGACCAAAUAGGAAUCCUGCCUGUCUUCACGACAGGCGCACACGGCCCGUGUGGGAUUCGGGUAGGUCGCUUGAGGCAUGCGGUGACGCAUGCCCCAGAUGAAUGAUUGUCCGCG
RNAcentral lists this RNase P RNA (328 nucleotides) under Legionella fairfieldensis. Its description in RNAcentral is "partial ribonuclease P RNA". It matches the Rfam family "Bacterial RNase P class A", at positions 18 to 314 of the family's 367-position model. From Rfam's summary of the family: Ribonuclease P (RNase P) is a ubiquitous endoribonuclease, found in archaea, bacteria and eukarya as well as chloroplasts and mitochondria. Its best characterised activity is the generation of mature 5'-ends of tRNAs by cleaving the 5'-leader elements of precursor-tRNAs. Cellular RNase Ps are ribonucleoproteins. The record is from RNAcentral. Lineage: Bacteria; Pseudomonadati; Pseudomonadota; Gammaproteobacteria; Legionellales; Legionellaceae.